UCGAGAAUUUUUCUCAAUGGGGGAAACCCUGAAGGAGCGACGCCGCGUGGGGGAUGAAGGACUUCGGUUCGUAAACCCCUGUCACUUGGGAACAAAAGUGCUAACCUAAUACGUUAGCGCCUGAUAGUACCAGGAGAGGAAGGCACGGCUAACUCUGUGCCAGCAGCCGCGGUAAUACAGAGGUGCCAAGCGUUGUUCGGAUUUAUUGGGCGUAAAGGGUGUGUAGGCGGUUAUGAAAGUCGGGUGUGAAAUACCGGAGCCUAACUCCGGAACGGCAUUCGAAACUCCAUAGCUAGAGAUCUGGAGAGGUGACUGGAAUUCUCGGUGUAGCAGUGAAAUGCGUAGAUAUCGAGAGGAACACCAGAGGCGAAGGCGAGUCACUAGACAUGAUCUGACGCUGAGACACGAAAGCUAGGGGAGCAAACGGGAUUAGAUACCCCCGUAGUCC
This 448-nucleotide ribosomal RNA is filed under the name uncultured bacterium. Its description in RNAcentral is "bacterial SSU rRNA". It matches the Rfam family "Bacterial small subunit ribosomal RNA", at positions 355 to 796 of the family's 1533-position model. The record is from RNAcentral.